This 253-nucleotide ribosomal RNA is filed under the name uncultured bacterium. Its description in RNAcentral is "partial 16S ribosomal RNA". It matches the Rfam family "Bacterial small subunit ribosomal RNA", at positions 524 to 776 of the family's 1533-position model. The record is from RNAcentral.
UACGUAGGGGGCAAGCGUUGUCCGGAAUCAUUGGGCGUAAAGCGCGUGUAGGCGGUUCGAUAAGUCUGCUGUGAAAGUCGGGGGCUCAACCCUCGAAAGCCGGUGGAUACUGUCGGGCUAGAGUGCGGAAGAGGCGAGUGGAAUUCCUGGUGUAGCGGUGAAAUGCGCAGAUAUCAGGAGGAACACCAAUUGCGAAGGCAGCUCGCUGGGACGUUACUGACGCUGAGGAGCGAAAGCAUGGGGAGCGAACAGG